AGCGACGCCGCGUGAGGGAUUAAGCCCUUCGGGGUGUAAACCUCGUUUUCUGGGGGAAGAAACUCACGACGGUGAACAAUCGGCGUGACUGACGGUACUCCAGGAAUAAGCUCCGGCCAACUCCGUGCCAGCAGCCGCGGUAACACGGGGGAGCAAACGUUGUUCGGAAUCACUGGGCGUAAAGGGCGCGUAGGCGGCCUCGUAAGUGGUGUGUGAAAUCUCCUGGCUCAACCAGGGGAAUAGCGCUCCAAACUGCGGGGCUUGAGGGCAGUAGAGGAAGCUGGAAUUCCAGGUGUAGCGGUGAAAUGCGUAGAUAUCUGGAGGAACACCAUUGGCGAAGGCGAGCUUCUGGGCUGUCUCUGACGCUGAUGCGCGAAAGCUGGGGGAGCAAACAGGAUUAGAUACCCUGGUAGUCCCAGCCGUAAACGGUGAACACUAGGUGUGGGAGGUGUCGACCCCUCCCGUGCCGCAGCUAACGCAUUAAGUGUUCCGCCUGGGGAGUACGGUCGCAAGGCUG
RNAcentral lists this ribosomal RNA (517 nucleotides) under uncultured bacterium. RNAcentral describes it as "bacterial SSU rRNA". It matches the Rfam family "Bacterial small subunit ribosomal RNA", at positions 390 to 896 of the family's 1533-position model. The record is from RNAcentral.